UUAAGCGACUAAGCGUACACGGUGGAUGCCCUGGCAGUCAGAGGCGAUGAAGGACGUGCUAAUCUGCGAAAAGCGUCGGUAAGGUGAUAUGAACCGUUAUAACCGGCGAUGUCCGAAUGGGGAAACCCAGUGCAAUUCGUUGCACUAUCGUUAACUGAAUACAUAGGUUAACGAGGCGAACCGGGGGAACUGAAACAUCUAAGUACCCCGAGGAAAAGAAAUCAACCGAGAUUCCCCCAGUAGCGGCGAGCGAACGGGGAGCAGCCCAGAGUCUGAAUCAGCUUGUGUGUUAGUGGAACGGUCUGGAAAGUCCGACGGUACAGGGUGAUAGUCCCGUACACCAAAAUGCACAGGUUGUGAACUCGAAGAGUAGGGCGGGACACGUGGUAUCCUGUCUGAAUAUGGGGGGACCAUCCUCCAAGGCUAAAUACUCCUGACUGACCGAUAGUGAACCAGUACCGUGAGGGAAAGGCGAAAAGAACCCCGGCGAGGGGAGUGAAAAAGAACCUGAAACCGUGUACGUACAAGCAGUGGGAGCACCUUCGGGUGUGACUGCGUACCUUUUGUAUAAUGGGUCAGCGACUUAUAUUCUGUAGCAAGGUUAACCGUAUAGGGGAGCCGCAGGGAAACCGAGUCUUAACUGGGCGUUAAGUUGCAGGGUAUAGACCCGAAACCCGGUGAUCUAGCCAUGGGCAGGUUGAAGGUUGGGUAACACUAACUGGAGGACCGAACCGACUAAUGUUGAAAAAUUAGCGGAUGACUUGUGGCUGGGGGUGAAAGGCCAAUCAAACCGGGAGAUAGCUGGUUCUCCCCGAAAGCUAUUUAGGUAGCGCCUCGUGAACUCAUCUUCGGGGGUAGAGCACUGUUUCGGCUAGGGGGUCAUCCCGACUUACCAACCCGAUGCAAACUACGAAUACCGAAGAAUGUUAUCACGGGAGACACACGGCGGGUGCUAACGUCCGUCGUGAAGAGGGAAACAACCCAGACCGCCAGCUAAGGUCCCAAAGUCAUGGUUAAGUGGGAAACGAUGUGGGAAGGCACAGACAGCCAGGAUGUUGGCUUAGAAGCAGCCAUCAUUUAAAGAAAGCGUAAUAGCUCACUGGUCGAGUCGGCCUGCGCGGAAGAUGUAACGGGGCUAAACCAUGCACCGAAGCUGCGGCAGCGACACUAUGUGUUGUUGGGUAGGGGAGCGUUCUGUAAGCCUGCGAAGGUGUGCUGUGAGGCAUGCUGGAGGUAUCAGAAGUGCGAAUGCUGACAUAAGUAACGAUAAAGCGGGUGAAAAGCCCGCUCGCCGGAAGACCAAGGGUUCCUGUCCAACGUUAAUCGGGGCAGGGUGAGUCGACCCCUAAGGCGAGGCCGAAAGGCGUAGUCGAUGGGAAACAGGUUAAUAUUCCUGUACUUGGUGUUACUGCGAAGGGGGGACGGAGAAGGCUAUGUUAGCCGGGCGACGGUUGUCCCGGUUUAAGCAUGUAGGCUGGUUAUCCAGGCAAAUCCGGAUAAUCAAGGCUGAGGUGUGAUGACGAGGCACUACGGUGCUGAAGUAACAAAUGCCCUGCUUCCAGGAAAAGCCUCUAAGCAUCAGGUAACAUCAAAUCGUACCCCAAACCGACACAGGUGGUCAGGUAGAGAAUACCAAGGCGCUUGAGAGAACUCGGGUGAAGGAACUAGGCAAAAUGGUGCCGUAACUUCGGGAGAAGGCACGCUGGUGUGUAGGUGAAGUCCCUGCGGAUGGAGCUGAGACCAGUCGAAGAUACCAGCUGGCUGCAACUGUUUAUUAAAAACACAGCACUGUGCAAACACGAAAGUGGACGUAUACGGUGUGACGCCUGCCCGGUGCCGGAAGGUUAAUUGAUGGGGUUAUCCGUAAGGAGAAGCUCUUGAUCGAAGCCCCGGUAAACGGCGGCCGUAACUAUAACGGUCCUAAGGUAGCGAAAUUCCUUGUCGGGUAAGUUCCGACCUGCACGAAUGGCGUAAUGAUGGCCAGGCUGUCUCCACCCGAGACUCAGUGAAAUUGAACUCGCUGUGAAGAUGCAGUGUACCCGCGGCAAGACGGAAAGACCCCGUGAACCUUUACUAUAGCUUGACACUGAACAUUGAGCCUUGAUGUGUAGGAUAGGUGGGAGGCUUUGAAGCGUGGACGCCAGUCUGCGUGGAGCCAACCUUGAAAUACCACCCUUUAAUGUUUGAUGUUCUAACGUUGGCCCCUUACCGGGGUUGCGGACAGUGUCUGGUGGGUAGUUUGACUGGGGCGGUCUCCUCCCAAAGCGUAACGGAGGAGCACGAAGGUUAGCUAAUCCUGGUCGGACAUCAGGAGGUUAGUGCAAUGGCAUAAGCUAGCUUGACUGCGAGCGUGACGGCGCGAGCAGGUGCGAAAGCAGGUCAUAGUGAUCCGGUGGUUCUGAAUGGAAGGGCCAUCGCUCAACGGAUAAAAGGUACUCCGGGGAUAACAGGCUGAUACCGCCCAAGAGUUCAUAUCGACGGCGGUGUUUGGCACCUCGAUGUCGGCUCAUCACAUCCUGGGGCUGAAGUAGGUCCCAAGGGUAUGGCUGUUCGCCAUUUAAAGUGGUACGCGAGCUGGGUUUAGAACGUCGUGAGACAGUUCGGUCCCUAUCUGCCGUGGGCGCUGGAGAAUUGAGGGGGGCUGCUCCUAGUACGAGAGGACCGGAGUGGACGCAUCACUGGUGUUCGGGUUGUCAUGCCAAUGGCACUGCCCGGUAGCUAAAUGCGGAAGAGAUAAGUGCUGAAAGCAUCUAAGCACGAAACUUGCCCCGAGAUGAGUUCUCCCUGAGACUUUAAGUCUCCUGAAGGAACGUUAAAGACGAUGACGUUGAUAGGCCGGGUGUGUAAGCGCAGCGAUGCGUUGAGCUAACCGGUACUAAUGAACCGUGAGGCUUAACCUU
RNAcentral lists this ribosomal RNA (2900 nucleotides) under Klebsiella pneumoniae. RNAcentral describes it as "bacterial LSU rRNA". It matches the Rfam family "Bacterial large subunit ribosomal RNA". The record is from RNAcentral. Lineage: Bacteria; Pseudomonadati; Pseudomonadota; Gammaproteobacteria; Enterobacterales; Enterobacteriaceae.